AUACGUAGGGGGCUAGCGUUGUCCGGAAUUAUUGGGCGUAAAGGAUGCGUAGGUGGAUAUUUAAGUGGGAUGUGAAAUCCCCCGGGCUCAACCCGGGAACUGCAUUCCAUACUGGAUAUCUAGAGUGCAGGAGAGGAAAGCGGAAUUCCUAGUGUAGCGGUGAAAUGCGUAGAUAUUAGGAGGAACACCAGUGGCGAAGGCGGCUUUCUGGACUGUAACUGACACUGAGGCAUGAAAGCGUGGGUAGC
This 248-nucleotide ribosomal RNA is filed under the name uncultured bacterium. RNAcentral's name for it is "partial 16S ribosomal RNA". It matches the Rfam family "Bacterial small subunit ribosomal RNA", at positions 523 to 769 of the family's 1533-position model. The record is from RNAcentral.